This 520-nucleotide ribosomal RNA is filed under the name uncultured bacterium. Its description in RNAcentral is "bacterial SSU rRNA". It matches the Rfam family "Bacterial small subunit ribosomal RNA", at positions 29 to 524 of the family's 1533-position model. The record is from RNAcentral.
AAUGAACGUUGGCGGCGUGGAUUAGGCAUGCAAGUCGAGCGGUAGGAGUUCACUCACCGCGUGUUUUCCGGAUUCGGAAAGCAUGAGGUGAGUGGACUCUGAGAGCGGCGAAAGGGAGAGUAACGCGUAGUUACGUACCCCGGGGACCGGAAUAGCCACGGGAAACUGUGGGUAAUGCCGGAUAACAUCUUCGGAUCAAAGGUGUGAUUCCGCCCUGGGAGCGGACUGCGUUGUACUAGCUUGUUGGUAGGGUAAUGGCCUACCAAGGCUAUGAUGCAUAGCGGGUGUGAGAGCAUGACCCGUCUCACUGGGACUGAGACACUGCCCAGACACCUACGGGUGGCUGCAGUCGGGAAUCUUCGGCAAUGAGCGCAAGCUUGACCGAGCGACGCCGCGUGCGGGAUGAAGGCCCUCGGGUUGUAAACCGCGAAAGUAGGGAGGAAGUCAUCGGGGGUUCUCCCCCGGAGUUGACCUAUCUACAGUAAGGACGGGCUAAGUACGUGCCAGCAGCCGCCGUAAC